GGAUUAGAUACCCUGGUAGUCCACGCCGUAAACGAUGUCUACUAGUUGUUGGGAGACUUGAUUCCUUAGUAACGAAGCUAACGCGAUAAGUAGACCGCCUGGGGAGUACGGUCGCAAGAUUAAAACUCAAAUGAAUUGACGGGGGCCUGCACAAGCGGUGGAGCAUGUGGUUUAAUUCGAUGCAACGCGAAGAACCUUACCAACUCUUGACAUCCAGAGAACUUAGCAGAGAUGCUUUGGUGCCUCCGGGAACUCUGAGACAGGUGCUGCAUGGCUGUCGUCAGCUCGUGCUG
This 293-nucleotide ribosomal RNA is filed under the name uncultured bacterium. RNAcentral describes it as "partial 16S ribosomal RNA". It matches the Rfam family "Bacterial small subunit ribosomal RNA", at positions 775 to 1067 of the family's 1533-position model. The record is from RNAcentral.